GGUGAACGCUGGCGGCGUGCUUAAGACAUGCAAGUCGAACGCAGUCUUCGGACUGAGUGGCGCACGGGUGAGUAACACGUAACUGACCUACCCCCAAGUCGCGGAUAACUGGCCGAAAGGUCAGCUAAUACGUGAUGUGAUGUCCCCUUUCUGGGGGGCCAUUAAAGGUUUACUGCUUGGGGAUGGGGUUGCGUUCCAUCAGCUAGUUGGCGGGGUAAAGGCCCACCAAGGCAACGACGGAUAGCCGGCCUGAGAGGGUGGCCGGCCACAGGGGCACUGAGACACGGGUCCCACUCCUACGGGAGGCAGCUGUUAGGAAUCUUCCACAAUGGGCGAAAGCCUGAUGGAGCGACGCCGCGUGAGGGAUGAGGGUUCUCGGAUCGUAAACCUCUGAAUCAGGGACGAAAGACGCGUAAGCGGGAUGACGGUACCUGAGUAAUAGCACCGGCUAACUCCGUGCCAGCAGCCGCCGUAA
This 475-nucleotide ribosomal RNA is filed under the name uncultured bacterium. RNAcentral describes it as "partial 16S ribosomal RNA". It matches the Rfam family "Bacterial small subunit ribosomal RNA", at positions 28 to 523 of the family's 1533-position model. The record is from RNAcentral.